UAGGAGUAAAAGUCGUAACAAGGUUCCGUAGGUGAACCUGCGGAAGGAUCAUUACCGAGGUAGGGUCUCCGGGCCCGAACCCCAAACCGUGCGUACCUUAUCUUUGAAGUUGCCUUGGCGGGCUCGCCCGCCGGUGGACACGUAAACUCCUGUACCUUCAGUCUGAGUAUAAAUCAAAUAAUCAAAACUUUCAACAACGGAUCUCUUGGUUCUGGCAUCGAUGAAGAACGCAGCGAAAUGCGAUAAGUAAUGUGAAUUGCAGAAUUCAGUGAAUCAUCGAAUCUUUGAACGCACAUUGCGCCCCCUGGCAUUCCGGGGGGCAUGCCUGUUCGAGCGUCAUGACUAAAUCGAACCUCUGGUUUGGUGUUGGGCCUCCGCCUCCCCGGGCGGGCCUGAAAAGUCUGUGGCGGCCCUGCCAGCGUCGAGCGUAGUGAUUUCUCUCGCUCCGAUGACCGGUGGACGUCGCCAGCACAACUUCCAAAAGUUGACCUCGGAUCAGGUAGGGAUACCCGCUGAACUUAA
Molecule: ribosomal RNA, 522 nt
Filed under: uncultured fungus
Lineage: Eukaryota; Fungi
Description: eukaryotic LSU rRNA
Rfam family: 5.8S ribosomal RNA (bases 186-339)
Source: RNAcentral